RNAcentral lists this ribosomal RNA (253 nucleotides) under uncultured bacterium. RNAcentral describes it as "partial 16S ribosomal RNA". It matches the Rfam family "Bacterial small subunit ribosomal RNA", at positions 524 to 776 of the family's 1533-position model. The record is from RNAcentral.
UACGUAGGGUGCAAGCGUUAAUCGGAAUUACUGGGCGUAAAGCGUGCGCAGGCGGUUAUUUAAGUCAGAUGUGAAAUGCCCGGGCUUAACCUGGGAACUGCAUUUGUGACUGCAUGGCUAGAGUUUGGCAGAGGGGGGUAGAAUUCCACGUGUAGCAGUGAAAUGCGUAGAGAUGUGGAGGAACACCGAUGGCGAAGGCAGCCCCCUGGGCUGAGAUCGACGCUCAGGCACGAAAGCGUGGGGAGCAAACAGG